Molecule: ribosomal RNA, 386 nt
Filed under: uncultured bacterium
Lineage: Bacteria
Description: bacterial SSU rRNA
Rfam family: Bacterial small subunit ribosomal RNA
Source: RNAcentral
ACAUGCAAGUCGAACGCCCCGCAAGGGGAGUGGCAGACGGGUGAGUAACGCGUGGGAACAUACCCUUUCCUGCGGAAUAGCUCCGGGAAACUGGAAUUAAUACCGCAUACGCCCUACGGGGGAAAGAUUUAUCGGGGAAGGAUUGGCCCGCGUUGGAUUAGCUAGUUGGUGGGGUAAAGGCCUACCAAGGCGACGAUCCAUAGCUGGUCUGAGAGGAUGAUCAGCCACAUUGGGACUGAGACACGGCCCAAACUCCUACGGGAGGCAGCAGUGGGGAAUAUUGGACAAUGGGCGCAAGCCUGAUCCAGCCAUGCCGCGUGAGUGAUGAAGGCCUUAGGGUUGUAAAGCUCUUUCACCGGAGAAGAUAAUGACGGUAUCCGGAGAAG